This is a non-coding RNA of Lentinula aff. lateritia, 108 nucleotides long. NCBI's taxonomy places the organism in Eukaryota, Fungi, Basidiomycota, Agaricomycetes, Agaricales, Omphalotaceae. The record is from the annotation of a GenBank genome assembly.
GGUGAGAUGGCUGAGUGGUCUAAGGCACCAGGCUAAGGAAGUUAGUUCAUGUGGUGUGUGUGAAGAUCUGGUCAUGUUGUGGCAUGGGUUCAAAUCCCACUCUUAUCA